GAUUAUUGGAGGUAGAGCACUGUUUGGACGAGGGGCCCCUCUCGGGUUACCGAGUUCAGACAAACUCCGAAUGCCAAUUAAUUUAACUUGGGAGUCAGAACAUGGGUGAUAAGGUCCGUGUUCGAAAGGGAAACAGCCCAGACCACCAGCUAAGGUCCCAAAAUAUAUGUUAAGUGGAAAAGGAUGUGGCGUUGCCCAGACAACUAGGAUGUUGGCUUAGAAGCAGCCAUCAUUUAAAGAGUGCGUAAUAGCUCACUAGUCGAGUGACACUGCGCCGAAAAUGUACCGGGGCUAAACAUAUUACCGAAGCUGUGGAUUGUCCUUUGGACAAUGGUAGGAGAGCGUUCUAAGGGCGUUGAAGCAUGAUCGUAAGGACAUGUGGAGCGCUUAGAAGUGAGAAUGCCGGUGUGAGUAGCGAAAGACGGGUGAGAAUCCCGUCCACCGAUUGACUAAGGUUUCCAGAGGAAGGCUCGUCCGCUCUGGGUUAGUCGGGUCCUAAGCUGAGGCCGACAGGCGUAGGCGAUGGAUAACAGGUUGAUAUUCCUGUACCACCUAUAAUCGUUUUAAUCGAUGGGGGGACGCAGUAGGAUAGGCGAAGCGUGCGAUUGGAUUGCACGUCUAAGCAGUAAGGCUGAGUAUUAGGCAAAUCCGGUACUCGUUAAGGCUGAGCUGUGAUGGGGAGAAGACAUUGUGUCUUCGAGUCGUUGAUUUCACACUGCCGAGAAAAGCCUCUAGAUAGAAAAUAGGUGCCCGUACCGCAAACCGACACAGGUAGUCAAGAUGAGAAUUCUAAGGUGAGCGAGCGAACUCUCGUUAAGGAACUCGGCAAAAUGACCCCGUAACUUCGGGAGAAGGGGUGCUCUUUAGGGUUAACGCCCAGAAGAGCCGCAGUGAAUAGGCCCAAGCGACUGUUUAUCAAAAACACAGGUCUCUGCUAAACCGUAAGGUGAUGUAUAGGGGCUGACGCCUGCCCGGUGCUGGAAGGUUAAGAGGAGUGGUUAGCUUCUGCGAAGCUACGAAUCGAAGCCCCAGUAAACGGCGGCCGUAACUAUAACGGUCCUAAGGUAGCGAAAUUCCUUGUCGGGUAAGUUCCGACCCGCACGAAAGGCGUAACGAUUUGGGCACUGUCUCAACGAGAGACUCGGUGAAAUCAUAGUACCUGUGAAGAUGCAGGUUACCCGCGACAGGACGGAAAGACCCCGUGGAGCUUUACUGUAGCCUGAUAUUGAAAUUCGGCACAGCUUGUACAGGAUAGGUAGGAGCCUUUGAAACGUGAGCGCUAGCUUACGUGGAGGCGCUGGUGGGAUACUACCCUAGCUGUGUUGGCUUUCUAACCCGCACCACUUAUCGUGGUGGGAGACAGUGUCAGGCGGGCAGUUUGACUGGGGCGGUCGCCUCCUAAAAGGUAACGGAGGCGCUCAAAGGUUCCCUCAGAAUGGUUGGAAAUCAUUCAUAGAGUGUAAAGGCAUAAGGGAGCUUGACUGCGAGACCUACAAGUCGAGCAGGGUCGAAAGACGGACUUAGUGAUCCGGUGGUUCCGCAUGGAAGGGCCAUCGCUCAACGGAUAAAAGCUACCCCGGGGAUAACAGGCUUAUCUCCCCCAAGAGUUCACAUCGACGGGGAGGUUUGGCACCUCGAUGUCGGCUCAUCGCAUCCUGGGGCUGUAGUCGGUCCCAAGGGUUGGGCUGUUCGCCCAUUAAAGCGGUACGCGAGCUGGGUUCAGAACGUCGUGAGACAGUUCGGUCCCUAUCCGUCGUGGGCGUAGGAAAUUUGAGAGGAGCUGUCCUUAGUACGAGAGGACCGGGAUGGACAUACCUCUGGUGUACCAGUUGUCGUGCCAACGGCAUAGCUGGGUAGCUAUGUGUGGACGGGAUAAGUGCUGAAAGCAUCUAAGCAUGAAGCCCCCCUCAAGAUGAGAUUUCCCAACUUCGGUUAUAAGAUCCCUCAAAGAUGAUGAGGUUAAUAGGUUCGAGGUGGAAGCAUGGUGACAUGUGGAGCUGACGAAUACUAAUCGAUCGAAGACUUAAUCAAAA
This 2033-nucleotide ribosomal RNA is filed under the name Escherichia coli. RNAcentral describes it as "partial 23S ribosomal RNA". It matches the Rfam family "Bacterial large subunit ribosomal RNA", at positions 891 to 2925 of the family's 2925-position model. The record is from RNAcentral. Lineage: Bacteria; Pseudomonadati; Pseudomonadota; Gammaproteobacteria; Enterobacterales; Enterobacteriaceae.